UGGGGAAUUUUGGACAAUGGGCGAAAGCCUGAUCCAGCAAUGCCGCGUGUGUGAAGAAGGCCUUCGGGUUGUAAAGCACUUUUGUCCGGAAAGAAAUCCUUGGCUCUAAUACAGUCGGGGGAUGACGGUACCGGAAGAAUAAGCACCGGCUAACUACGUGCCAGCAGCCGCGGUAAUACGUAGGGUGCAAGCGUUAAUCGGAAUUACUGGGCGUAAAGCGUGCGCAGGCGGUUUGCUAAGACCGAUGUGAAAUCCCCGGGCUCAACCUGGGAACUGCAUUGGUGACUGGCAGGCUAGAGUAUGGCAGAGGGGGGUAGAAUUCCACGUGUAGCAGUGAAAUGCGUAGAGAUGUGGAGGAAUACCGAUGGCGAAGGCAGCCCCCUGGGCCAAUACUGACGCUCAUGCACGAAAAGCGUGGGGGAGCAAAACAGGAUUAGAUACCCUGGUAGUCCACGCCCUAAACGAUGUCAACUAGUUGUUGGGGAUUCAUUCCUUAGUAACGUAGCUAACGCGUGAAGUUGACCGCCUGGGGAGUACGGUCGCAAGAUUAAAACUCAAAGGAAUUGACGGGGUCNUAGCU
This 580-nucleotide ribosomal RNA is filed under the name uncultured bacterium. RNAcentral describes it as "partial 16S ribosomal RNA". It matches the Rfam family "Bacterial small subunit ribosomal RNA", at positions 355 to 926 of the family's 1533-position model. The record is from RNAcentral.